RNAcentral lists this ribosomal RNA (497 nucleotides) under uncultured bacterium. Its description in RNAcentral is "partial 16S ribosomal RNA". It matches the Rfam family "Bacterial small subunit ribosomal RNA", at positions 28 to 507 of the family's 1533-position model. The record is from RNAcentral.
GAUGAACGCUGGCGGCGUGCCUAAUACAUGCAAGUUGAGCGAACGGACGAGAAGCUUGCUUCUCUGAUGUUAGCGGCGGACGGGUGAGUAACACGUGGAUAACCUACCUAUAAGACUGGGAUAACUUCGGGAAACCGGAGCUAAUACCGGAUAAUAUUUUGAACCGCAUGGUUCAAAAGUGAAAGACGGUCUUGCUGUCACUUAUAGAUGGAUCCGCGCUGCAUUAGCUAGUUGGUAAGGUAACGGCUUACCAAGGCAACGAUGCAUAGCCGACCUGAGAGGGUGAUCGGCCACACUGGAACUGAGACACGGUCCAGACUCCUACGGGAGGCAGCAGUAGGGAAUCUUCCGCAAUGGGCGAAAGCCUGACGGAGCAACGCCGCGUGAGUGAUGAAGGUCUUCGGAUCGUAAAACUCUGUUAUUGGGGAAGAACAUAUGUGUAAGUAACUGUGCACAUCUUGACGGUACCUAAUCAGAAAGCCACGGCUAACUACGUG